RNAcentral lists this long non-coding RNA (210 nucleotides) under Medicago truncatula (barrel medic). Its description in RNAcentral is "long non-coding RNA (MTRU_LNC002122)". The record is from RNAcentral. Lineage: Eukaryota; Viridiplantae; Streptophyta; Magnoliopsida; Fabales; Fabaceae.
AACAUGCGCAAUUGGUUUAUGAAUGUUGAAGAAUUUGGUGAUGUAAUAUGGGCAAAGAGAGCAGCAAAAGAAGUUUUUGGUGAAUGGAUAAGGAAUAGUAUUCAAUGAGGAUGAUGAGAUGUACGUGUUCUUAUCUUAUAUAUCUUCUUUUAUCAAUAACUUUAAACCCUUUUAGCACACAAUACCUUUAAUUAAUCCUUUAUGCUAGCU